UUUUGAGAAAAAAUAAGAAAAGGAGGGGUAUGAUCUGACGGAAAACCUCUAUUAUGGUUUUGAUCUAUACUAUAGCGCCCUGGUGGUUGUCGUGAUUCAGCUACUAAACGUUUUCUUCGCCACUACUCUGUGUUGCAGAUCGGAUAAGCGUCAUUUGCUUCUCAACAAAUUCGAUGGAUUCUGCACAAAAAUAAAAAGCUCAAACUCGUUUUCUCAGGAGUGCAGCACCAAUGAGUAGUGACCAUGCGGUGCAGUUUGCUAGCAGAAUAUUUUCGAUUGUAGUAACCGGUAUUCCAUCCUACACAAAGAUUUACAAAUUGUUUUGGAUUUGGGGAAAAUCAAUUUUCUUGAACAAAUGCUUCAGAAACGCUGCAUACCGCGAGCGCUUGUCAGUUUCCGCCACAAAACAUUACAUCGCGAAUCCGAGUGUUUCCUGUGUGAUGCCUCAACUCGUACCGGUUAUCUAUCAAAUCGAGGAGUGUGACACGGACGACGAUAAGUUCUAUUUUAGUAGGAUAGGAGCAUGUGUAUAAAAAAUAAUUUGGCGAUCUUUUCAAGGGAAUGGAGUCGAUUUUCAGUACCAUUGAUCUACAAGCGUGUCAUCCCGGUUCUAACUUUUAAAGCGGCUAAAGCACCGCUGAACGAUAAAAGCGAUCCGCGGGCCCCUUCACGAAUCCUCGUGUUACAUGUUACUGGAAGCAUAGAAGAACAUUUGGCAACGAAUAACAAGUAAGAAGCCGCCGUUCGUUCACCGAAAGAAAAUACAUUGACAUCAAUCUACCGCAAGAUACAAAUCCAAAAAGACUCCAGCUCGAAUCACGUGAAUAACUUCAUUUUAUUCGACUAUCAAGAACAAUCGGAUACCAAGUUCAUAACUUUUAUAGAAAAUUCGGCAACUACAGUGGUGACUGAUACCGGGUGGCCGAUGUAACACAUAAUAGUCAUUAUGUCAGUGUCAGUUUGACUGAAUAGACUGAAAUCAUUCAUUUAGGAUAGGAUAGUAAAAAUCGCCAAAAAGCAGUGAACACUGAAAAACGGCGUCAACAGAAGAAAAAUUCCGAAGCGAAUUGUAAAACCAUUUGAGAUCAAGAGUUCAGAAACAUCAGGAUCUAAAGCAGACCGAGCGAAUUUAGUAUAAUGCUGCUAGGCUGAUAAACGCCUAAACAAGAGGGUAUCUCACGCGAAGACUUCUUCAAACAGAAGAAGUUCAAAAGAUCGUCCAAAAUAUUUACGACACACUCCUGUUCAUAUUAGAUAUGUAUGAUGUAUCACGAAAACAACGCACCUGGCAUUUGGCGAGUUCGCAGUCCAGGUGACGUGCAACCCGUACAACUAAAGCGAACUGUUUUCCACCAGCUAACAUCCACCGACCACCGGUAAUCAACUGCACGAAAUUUUCAUUGAUACUACCACUCAGCAGCGAAUGCAGAUAAUACACCGCGAUCGAGAAUGGAUGAAACACAAACUUGAGACUCGGCAACGAAUAACUCCAGUAGCACAAAUCGAUUCAAGUAGAGUUUCAAAUCUCAGCUUCAGCUCACCUGCUGUACCCGAGCAAUACCAAACACUGCAGAUGUUUUCUCUAGUUUCAGUCAAUAUUGAAGAAACCACUGCCGCUGCUACCGAUAAUCACCAGAAUAACAACAUUACCCGCAAAGUGUGUCUUGAAGAGUUUUACAACAAAUCACCAGCAGCCAGCAGGUUUAAAUUCAAGUCAUCAAACCGUUCAUCGGUACGCCGGUGCAGGUGCAGACUGUCUGAUUGCAGAACAUCGUCAGCACGUACUCCAAACCUUUCAUCGACGGUGGUUACGGUUCUAAUGAGCCAAGUAAAAAGAGUGCCGGUAUCAAACCUCUGUCACAGGCCACUCCCGUCCAAAAGCUGCCACCGUUUAAUGACAGAAACCGUUGGGAUCAAUAGUAAUAGAUUAAUAGAUGUAUAAAUGCUGUUAAUUUUUGCAA
Sabethes cyaneus is the source of this 1961-nucleotide long non-coding RNA. RefSeq lists it as uncharacterized. The transcript has 4 exons. Lineage: Eukaryota; Metazoa; Arthropoda; Insecta; Diptera; Culicidae. The record is from RefSeq and is a predicted model, not a curated record.